Molecule: long non-coding RNA, 2367 nt
Filed under: Eucalyptus grandis
Lineage: Eukaryota; Viridiplantae; Streptophyta; Magnoliopsida; Myrtales; Myrtaceae
Description: long non-coding RNA (EGRA_LNC002020)
Source: RNAcentral
UUCGCCCAAUCUCUACAUGGUAUCAGAGUGGCGAUUCUUGAAGCCCGUCUCUCACGUCUCUCUUUGGCCUUCUCACUUGAACCAACAAUCACAGAAACUGCGACAAUAUCUACCUUCUUUGCCUCGGGAACUAGCCCACGAAGCGUGUCAAAAUGCGCGUUGAUCCUCACUCUCCGCCAUCUCUCCAACUCACUGUGAUUCUUCAGGGCACCAAUUGACCCCCUUGGCGCCGUUUUCCUCUUGGCGCUCACCAAUUUGGAAGUCCGAUUUGAUCCUCGCUAAUCCCCUUGCCCCCGACGAAAGCCCCAACACAGACGGGAUCCACAUAGGCGACUUGUCCCGCAUCAAAAUCACUUACUCCAAGAUCAAGGUUCAGUGGACAGCAAGAACUUCCACUUCAAUGUCUUCUCCUGCCACAAUCUCGAAUUCUAACGCAUGUGGAUGAUUCCCCCCUGAUUUGGAAGUCCCCCUAAUUCACAAAUUUGGAAGUCCUCAGGAAUGUUAAUCCCAAAGUUGACCCGAGGAUCAUCGCUCAAGACCUCAUCCGAGUCGUUCAUUCUCUAACUUUUUGGCUGCAAGUAAUCAUGGCAACCGAGUCUCAAAAUUCUUCAACUACCGUUCCUGCACAUGAGCAGGUGGGCAACCCUUUUUUUUUUUUUACAUCAUUCUGAUAACCCAAGAUCUAAUCUCGUUGGCAUGGUCCUUACGGGUCACAAUUACAACAAUUGGUCUCAUGUCAUGGAGAUUGCCCUUUCCGCCAAGAACAAGAUGAUGUUUGUUACUGGAGAAAUAAAAAAGCCAGUUGCAAUAGAUCCUGCCUAUGCGUCUUGGAUUCGUGUGAACAAUAUGAUGAGGGGUGUUCCAUUGCAAUAUUGGCUAUCGCCCGGUCUCUUAGAAUGUUAUAGCCAUUUUUUACUAUAAAAGACCCAUCCUUAGUUCCUAUCCAAAUCAAUUUACCAUUUGCAAGUUGAUGGUUGAUUGGAAUUGCAAGGAUCUCCUAAAUGGUCUGUUCAUCAAAGAGGUUGUUUAACAAUGUUUCAUUCCAUUGUUGUGCUUCAAAGUUCAAUACUCAUAAACUUGUUGUAGAUCAUUUCUGUUUGGUGGCCCUCCAAUUAGUCCUCUCUUCAACAAUUUAUCUGUUCUAAUGUUGACAUUUCGACCAUUUCCAAUCGACCAUCUCACUGAAUCCGUUAUGGCCUCUCUUCCAAGAACUAAACUUUGCCAACCCCAUGAAGGCUUAGUACCUUUAUUAGCAUGCCAAAAAUCCUUUCAACAGAAAUAAAGCCAUUUUAAUAAUUUACUCCACAAAGCAUCCGGAUUCUUAACCAACCUCCAAGCUUGUUUACCCAGGAGGGCCUUGUUUAUAGUAAGAAUGUCUCUAAAACCCAUUCCUCCAAUGUCGUUUCUUAUUUUCAUGAUUUCCCAUUUCUUCCAAUGUAGACCAGCUUUUGUUUCACUAUUUUUUCACUAGAAAUUAGCUAUUGUCUUCUCUAUAGCCUUACAAACUGAUACUGGGAUUUUGAAAACUGACAUGGCAUAUUGAGAUAACGCUUGUACCACUGAUUUCAGGAGAAUUUUCUUGUCUGCUUUAAAUAUAAUUUGUUCCUUCCAGCCUUCCAAUUUCAUAUUUACCCUAUUUAAAAUCCAUGCAAACAUCCUUCAGAAGGCAGCUUUUAAGGUUAAUGAACUUUUUUUCUUUCUAAAUUGCCCCCACUAAUAUUUAUAUAUUCCAAUCUUGCCCUACCUUGUGACUGUUCAUCUUGUCUAACUGUUGAAGUUCUACUAUGCUUAGGUCUCCACUGAAGGUUGCCAUGCUUGGGUCUUUGCCUAGUUCAUCUUCUUGGACAUCAAGCUCGCUCUUGACUAUUAGGUGAGAUCUUGAGGUCACGCAUCGCUCAUGGUUGAGAGUUGACAGUUGUUGAUGGUCAAGCGUUUGACGUGACCUCAGCACAGCCCCACUGAGGUUGCAUGAUCUCAAAGCCCUCUCCUAGGCUCGCAGUGGCCCUUCUAGCCCUUGCUUGAGCCCUUGUAGAUGAUGAACAGUAGCUCCUUUAAUUUUUCCUUUAAAAAAAAACUUUUAAGUUAUUUUGCCAAAAACUAUACCAAAAAUCAACAACCAAAUAAAAUAUACCUUAAGCCAAAGAUCUUUGAAGAAAUGAAGGUCAAUCAAAUGCAGCUUAGCUCCUUUAGACCUAUCACAUGGCAUGAGGCACCCGAGUUUGCAAGGAUUGCUCUCUUAUCUCCAUACUUCAUUUCCGACUCAGUCCAAUUGAGCUUGUUCACUAUGUGCAAUCUUCCAAAUUCGCUUUUUAUUUCCAAAUCCAUUAAUGUCAUUCCAUAAUCAUCUUGUCUUGUUUUUUCUUUUCA